AUUGGCUAAACUCUUUUUUACCCGCGAACGGUGUUUCCGUUUCCGCUAGGAGGCUCGCAUGUUGGCUAACGUCAUGACGAUUCGUAAUGCAUUUUAUGGCACAGGAGUUUGAAAAAAAAAUUCCCUCACCAAAGACAUAACAAGGAAAGCAGUGCCAAAAUGGCUGAUUGGUGCCAGGGACAGGGGAUGCAACCGUGCCAUUAGAGCACAUGGAGGAGAGCAAAACCUGGGGGUGAAGCAGCAGACCAAACUGCAGAAAGCCAGGACUAGGGCUGUGUUCCUCCAUCUAUGUUACUUCCUGUAUGUUUCUGUAUGUUCCUGUUGCAGUGUUCCUCCAUCUAUGUUACUUCCUGUAAGUUUCUGUAUGUUCCUGUAUGUUCCUUAGCAGAAAGCGUUCCUGUUUGCUCUCCUGGUGUUUUUUUUUUUUCUCGUAGUUUCCAAUAAAUCGGACAAAUGUCAAUGUUGACAGAA
Long non-coding RNA from Epinephelus moara (kelp grouper), 471 nucleotides. RefSeq lists it as uncharacterized. The record is from RefSeq and is a predicted model, not a curated record. NCBI's taxonomy places the organism in Eukaryota, Metazoa, Chordata, Actinopteri, Perciformes, Serranidae. The transcript is spliced from 3 exons.